This 450-nucleotide ribosomal RNA is filed under the name uncultured Paraglomus. Its description in RNAcentral is "SSU rRNA". It matches the Rfam family "Eukaryotic small subunit ribosomal RNA", at positions 569 to 1022 of the family's 1831-position model. The record is from RNAcentral. Lineage: Eukaryota; Fungi; Glomeromycota; Glomeromycetes; Paraglomerales; Paraglomeraceae.
AGCAGCCGCGGUAAUUCCAGCUCCAAUAGCGUAUAUUAAAGUUGUUGCAGUUAAAAAGCUCGUAGUUGAAUUUCAGGCCUGGCUGGGCGGUCCGCCCUUCGGGUGAGUACUGCCUGUGGUCGGGUCCUACCUUCUGGCGAAGCGUCAUGGCCUUCACCGGCCGUGGCGGGGAACCAGGACUUUUACUGUGAAAAAUUAGAGUGUUCAAAGCAGGCAAUCGCUUGGAUACAUUAGCAUGGAAUAAUGGAAUAGGACAAUGGUUCUAUUUGUUGGUUUCUAGGACCGUUGUAAUGAUUAAUAGGGAUAGUUGGGGGCAUUAGUAUUCAAUUGUCAGAGGUUUGAAAUUCUUGGAUUUAUUGAAGACUAACUACUGCGAAAGCAUUUGCCAAGGAUGUUUUCAUUAAUCAAGAACGAAAGUUAGGGGAUCGAAGACGAUCAGAUACCGUCGUA